CACCUCUCAGGGUCACGCCCGGAGAGUUUCCAGUCCUCUACCAGUCUCGACUACGGGAGGGAGAGUCAAGCAGAGGCCAACCCAUUCCAUUCCUAGUUUGGCCAGGGGCUAGCCAGUGGAAGGCAGUCUGCCACAAGU
Molecule: non-coding RNA, 138 nt
Organism: Ornithorhynchus anatinus (platypus)
Lineage: Eukaryota; Metazoa; Chordata; Mammalia; Monotremata; Ornithorhynchidae
Source: Rfam